GAACCGGCUGCGCAUCAACAAUUCACAAUGACACCUCGAACAAAAAUAACUACAAUUAAACUACAACAGGGAAGGAAAAACUCAACCCGGAGCCAACUUAACCCCCGGAUUUCAGUGCCUUCAAUUACCAGCACAAGUUUCUCGGAGUGACGAACCGCCCUAAGUGCAACGCGUGGCCGACUUUUCUGGUUCCCACGGGCCACUCACAGUCGAAUCCCCACAUCCUGACCUCAUCACGGGCGCUCGGUGUGUGCUCUAGCACACCAGGCAUCGGUAUAGUCGCUAACUAGCCGAAGAAAUUUUUCCUGCUAGUGCCGAACCACCCUUACCGAGCUCCCAUUUCCGUUUGUCAGAU
Drosophila elegans is the source of this 355-nucleotide long non-coding RNA. RefSeq lists it as uncharacterized. NCBI's taxonomy places the organism in Eukaryota, Metazoa, Arthropoda, Insecta, Diptera, Drosophilidae. The record is from RefSeq and is a predicted model, not a curated record. The transcript has 3 exons.